Long non-coding RNA from Lynx canadensis (Canada lynx), 1059 nucleotides. RefSeq lists it as uncharacterized. The record is from RefSeq and is a predicted model, not a curated record. The transcript has 3 exons. Lineage: Eukaryota; Metazoa; Chordata; Mammalia; Carnivora; Felidae.
UGAAUAAAUGCUUUUCUAAAGACAAUGUGGUGGGUAAUGAAAACCCAAUACUUACUUUGUUACUGGUGGCCCUAAUGUUUAUAUUUUUACCAUGUUUUCAGUCUAUACCAUUUCUGUGAGACCAUUUAUUACAAUCGGAAUUCUUAAAAAGUAUAUUUGGCUACAAUACAUUCAGGAUGAGGAUUCAUGAUACCAUUAUUUUACAGGAUAUAUUGGAUUAAAACACAUCAUUGGUCUUGGUAAUUAUCAAGUCUUCUUAUGAGCUAUGAAACUUGAGAUGCCUUAGAUUACAAUUAAUCACUACUGGUCACUACUGAAUAGAAUCUAAGUCUGAAGCAUCCUGCUUGGAUUCUUCAUUUUUAUUCCGUGGCAGCAUUCACUGAGGGUUGUACCAUUGGGAGAACCAUCGAAGCUGUGAAAACAAAGACACUCACAAAGUCAUUAGACUAUAUUUUUCUCUUAUGUGCCUGUCCAGAAGUAGGCAGUGCAAAAUGGGUAUAUUAAUUCUGUUAUAUAUAACACACAGCUUCUAUCUCAGUCCGUGUUGGCUACAGGGACUCUCCCACAGACAUUAGGAAGGAAAAAAUAGGAAGUGGAGGACACAUCCCUUCCAGUUAAGGGUAAAACCUAGAGGUUAUACACACCACUUCUGGCUCAUUUGUCAUGAGUCAGAACUUAGUCACAGUGCCACACCUAGUUGCAAGGAAAGCCAAGAGUUGUCAUCGAUAGUUGGAAGGCCUUGAACCCAGUGAAAAUCUGUGUGGGGGAUUUUAAUACCAGAAAGAAGAAGUGAAUAUUGGUGAAUGGCUAGCUAUCUUUGCUACAAUUGCUCACCUGAAAUUAUAGGUUGGUUUUCUCCAUAUCAGAGCUGCUUAGUGAGUGAACUCUACUGUGCCUCCUGUGCCAAAAGUAAAGCUCCUUGAGGAGACUUGCCCAAUUUUACGUGUGAAAACCGAAGACUUACCCAGAGUCACAGAAAGAGUGGUGACAAUCAGGACUAGGAUCCAGAGAACAUGAAUUUUUUCCUGGCUCUUGAAAAAGCAGCAUUUCUCUUCCAAA